UACGUACCACAUUAGCCAAAUAAUUGAUCAUAAUAGACAAUUCGUCGAUCAAUAAUACUUUCAAACUAACAAAGCAUCUUCGUUAUCUCGGGCUUUCUGGCCGUAAGAUGUUAUUGAUCGAUGCGUGUUCAUGACCAAAUGAGCAUUGUAAUUUCUGUACUUCAGCUUGGCAGGUUUACAUAUACCACAAGUAACAUUCAUACGGCUUAUUAGGGGCGGUCGUCAAGCCGUCAAGGUAUGCCGGUGGUGUGGCCAGACAAUGUCUCCGGCUUACAGAGGCCUCUCAUGUUGUAACACCUCUGUCAAUCAAAUUAUAAAUUAUAUAUAUAUAUAUAGAGGCCCGUUCUGAAGCGGACGUCCGCACUUCGCUAAAGUGCGGACGGCGAUGCAGCGGAGGCGUUCCAGGCGGUGGCGGCGGCGCGCGGCUUGCAGGAGGGAGGCCGGAGGCAUCUUGGAUUGUUCUGGGCAGUGUUCAAGGUCGGAGGAGGUCGGGGUUGCAGGUUUUGGGCAGCAACCCGACCUGCAACUGCAGGUUUUCUGGGCAGCCCUCCAACGACGUCGCCGGCGACUCCACCGACUGCAGACGGCUCCGCCUGACCCCUGGCGUCCUUCCGGCAACCCUCGCCGCUCCAUCGCGCCCCGAGCCGAGCUGCAGCAGCGCCGUCCGCACUUUAGCGAAAGUGCGGACGUC
RNAcentral lists this long non-coding RNA (691 nucleotides) under Rosa chinensis. RNAcentral's name for it is "sRNA RchiOBHm_Chr4g0432601". The record is from RNAcentral. Lineage: Eukaryota; Viridiplantae; Streptophyta; Magnoliopsida; Rosales; Rosaceae.